AGUAGAAUGAAAACAUCUGUGUGUUCUGACCGUGUCUCUGAGUCUCAUCCAGUCGUUCCAGAUGUGAUUGGUUCUUCACUCGUCUCCUCUCGCUCUCACUCUCUCUCUCUCUCUCACCUCCAGUGUUCGAUCAACUAGAUCUGGUCACGUAUGAGGAGGUGGUGAAGCUUCCUGCCUUCAAGAGGAAAACCCUCGUUUUGUUAGGGGCUCAUGGCGUCGGCAGGAGACACAUCAAGAACACGCUCAUCACCAAACACCCCGACAGAUUCGCUUACCCCAUCCCACACACGACCAGACCUCCGAAGAAGGACGAGGAGAACGGGAAGAACUACUACUUUGUUUCCCACGAUCAGAUGAUGCAGGACAUCAGCAACAACGAGUACCUGGAGUACGGCAGCCACGAGGACGCCAUGUACGGGACGCGGCUGGAGACCAUACGGAAGAUCCACCAACAGGGACACGUAGCCAUACUGGACGUGGAACCUCAGGCCCUGAAGGUCCUGCGAACAGCAGAGUUUGCUCCGUACGUCGUCUUCAUUGCUGCACCAACAAUUACACCAGGAAUCAAUGAGGUAACAACACAC
Paralichthys olivaceus (Japanese flounder) is the source of this 584-nucleotide non-coding RNA. The record is from RefSeq and is a predicted model, not a curated record. Lineage: Eukaryota; Metazoa; Chordata; Actinopteri; Pleuronectiformes; Paralichthyidae.